CCUACGGGAGGCUGCAGUGGGGAAUAUUGGACAAUGGGGGGAACCCUGAUCCAGCCAUGCCGCGUGUGUGAAGAAGGCCCUCGGGUGGUAAAGCACUUUCAGUGAGGAAGAACGCCUGGUGGUUAAUACCCAUCAGGAAAGACAUCACUCACAGAAGAAGCACCGGCUAACUCCGUGCCAGCAGCCGCGGUAAUACGGAGGGUGCGAGCGUUAAUCGGAAUUACUGGGCGUAAAGCGCGCGUAGGUGGCUUGAUAAGCCGGUUGUGAAAGCCCCGGGCUCAACCUGGGAACGGCAUCCGGAACUGUCAAGCUAGAGUGCAGGAGAGGAAGGUAGAAUUCCCGGUGUAGCGGUGAAAUGCGUAGAGAUCGGGAGGAAUACCAGUGGCGAAGGCGGCCUUCUGGACUGACACUGACACUGAGGUGCGAAAGCGUGGGUAGCAAACAGGAUUAGAUACCCCAGUAGUC
Molecule: ribosomal RNA, 465 nt
Filed under: Vreelandella stevensii
Lineage: Bacteria; Pseudomonadati; Pseudomonadota; Gammaproteobacteria; Oceanospirillales; Halomonadaceae
Description: partial 16S ribosomal RNA
Rfam family: Bacterial small subunit ribosomal RNA
Source: RNAcentral